CAAAAUCUCCAACAAUGGCUUCACAGUAGUCAUCAAGCAAUAUGUUGGCUGCCUUUACGUCCCUAUGAAUAAUCUUGGGGUCACACUGCUCGUGCAGGUACAGUAGGCCUCUUGCUGCACCGAGUGCUAUCCUCUGUCUGGUGAUCCAGUCCAAUGGUGGCUUCCCUAUAAUUAGUCACGUGAGAACAAAAUUGGUUAUAUGGGAAUCAUAUUCUUUUUUAAAAAAGUUUUGGCCAAUGAAAACGAUAUAGAAAUGAAAGGAUUAAAUAAGAAGCUCUCUUGUCAAGAACUGAGGAACAAUUCAUUACUAUUUCAUUUAGCUAUUUUAUGAUGGAAUUACUGUUUGAUUUAUAAUUUUGGAAUUCAUGAACCAUCUUGAAAUCAUGAUGUUCUUACCUUUCAGACGCAAUGCGACACUCCCAUUUGACAUGUAUGGAUAUACCAGAAGCCUCUCAGUAGCAGUCAUGCAGAACCCAUAAAGCCUGAGGAGGUUCCGGUGAAGCGCCAAGCUGAUCAUCUCAACUUCAGUCUGAAACUGUGCCUGCCCGCCUGCAGCAUUACCAUCUUUCAGCCUCUUGACAGCUACAACAGUUCCAUCUGGUAGCUUUCCCCGGUAAACGUUUCCAAAGCCGCCUUUUCCUAAGAUGUUCUUAUUGCUGAAGUUCUCUGUUGCAACCUGAAGCUCUCUGAACUGAAACCUCUUCACAUUUCCUAGGUUGACAUUCUCUGUGUGUUGCUCUGCAAUAGCCAAUGCGUUACAAUGAAAACAACCAUCGCAUGCCAGUAUGCCCCCAAGUUUGACGAGCAUUGAGGC
This 814-nucleotide long non-coding RNA is filed under the name Oryza sativa (Asian cultivated rice). RNAcentral describes it as "long non-coding RNA (OSAT_LNC000443)". The record is from RNAcentral. Lineage: Eukaryota; Viridiplantae; Streptophyta; Magnoliopsida; Poales; Poaceae.